Molecule: ribosomal RNA, 253 nt
Filed under: uncultured bacterium
Lineage: Bacteria
Description: partial 16S ribosomal RNA
Rfam family: Bacterial small subunit ribosomal RNA
Source: RNAcentral
UACGUAGGGACCAAGCGUUGUUCGGAUUUACUGGGCGUAAAGGGCGCGUAGGCGGCGUGGUAAGUCACUUGUGAAAUCUCCGAGCUUAACUCGGAACGGUCAAGUGAUACUGCUGUGCUAGAGUGCAGAAGGGGCAAUCGGAAUUCCAGGUGUAGCGGUGAAAUGCGUAGAUAUCUGGAGGAAUACCGGUGGCGAAGGCGGCAUCCUGGACCGACAUUGACGCUGAUGAGCGAAAGCUAGGGGAGCAAACGGG